GAUGAACGCUGGCGGCGUGCCUAAUACAUGCAAGUCGAGCGAACGGACGAUAAUCUUGCUUCUCUGAUGUUAGCGGCGGACGUGUGAGUAACACGUGUAUAACCUACCUAUAAGACUGGGAUAACUUCGGGAAACCGGAGCUAAUACCGGAUAAUAUUUUGAACCGCAUGGUUCAAUAGUAAAAUACGGUCUUUCUGUCACUUAUAGAUGGAUCCGCGCUGCAUUAUCUAGUUGGUAAGGUAAAGGCUUACCAAGGCAACGAUGCAUAGCCGACCUGAGAGGGUGAUAGGCCACACGGGAAGUGAGACACGGACAAGAGUACUAAGGGAGGCAGCAGAAGGGAAUCUUACGCAAUGGGCGAAAGCAUGACGGAGCAACGCCGAGUGAGUGAUGAAGGUGUUCGGAUCGUAAAACUCUGUUAUGAGGGAAGAACAGAUGUGGAAGUAACUGUGCACAUAUUGACGGUAACUAAUCAGAAAGCAACGGCUAACUACGUG
RNAcentral lists this ribosomal RNA (497 nucleotides) under uncultured bacterium. RNAcentral describes it as "partial 16S ribosomal RNA". It matches the Rfam family "Bacterial small subunit ribosomal RNA", at positions 28 to 507 of the family's 1533-position model. The record is from RNAcentral.